AUCAAGCUUAGAAACUGCAGAGAAAGUUCCUGGAAGGCUAGCACUUGACUGAGGACGUGGAGGAGGCAUGGAGCUUAAACAGAGAGUGGAAAUGGAAGGCAGGCCACACUACAUGAUUAAAGAGUAGAGGGCAUGUGAAAAGACAUGUGAUGUGGAAUUCCAGUAGAAGAGUGUUGAUGAGAUUGACAGAGACAACUUCUUAAUGAUGUUUGACCCACCUUUGAGAUGAAUGGCGAGACUGAAGAUAAAUUGUGGACAGUGCCUGGACUUUCAACCUCUCUUCAUUUUCCAUUCACCUGUCUGCUGGUUCCAAGUGGAGAUGCUGAUAGCAGGACUCUGGAAAGAGAGAGAAAUAAGGAGAGUAGUUUCCUAACCUAGUUUCUAGCUGCUUUAUAGUACUGUUCCUGUGUGAUAAUGUCAAUGGCUGACUUCCUAAAGGACUUUGGGAGCACAUUUAUUUCAUCCUUGUUAUUCCUUUGCAUCAUUUUUUAUUGCUCUGAAUUUCUGCAUUCCCUCAGUUAGAGUAGCUUUCUUUCUCUUUCAAGGGCAGAGUCUUUCUAGGUAUUCUGUCACUGUGUAACUAGAGCUGUAAAAUAUUCUGGGGUGGUGACUUCUUAAAAUUCCCAGUGGAUAUGUAAGGACGUUACUCAACCAAAAACUUUUGAAUGCCCACUGGGAAAAGAAGAGCCUAUACUUUUUUCUCCAUAUACUUUUAAAACUUGCUUUAUGUAGGGUAGCCUCCUAAAUAAAGCUG
Long non-coding RNA from Suricata suricatta (meerkat), 754 nucleotides. RefSeq lists it as uncharacterized. The transcript is spliced from 3 exons. The record is from RefSeq and is a predicted model, not a curated record. Lineage: Eukaryota; Metazoa; Chordata; Mammalia; Carnivora; Herpestidae.